GAAAGCUGUCACUUAUGCAGGUAUUGGCUCACGACUCUGAAUUCUCUUGUAAGGAACAUGGUUUUUUGUGGAGGGAAAAUUAGUUUUGAUUGAGGUAUUGUUUGUGAAACUUCAAUCUGGAAUUCUUGCAGUCCACAAAUAGACCACACAUUUCUGUACCAGGAUAAGCUGUUGGAAUGGUUCAUAACCUCAUGUCUUCUGAAGAUGAAAUACUGGAUUUUUACACAAUUCAACAUUAUGGAACCUCCACACCUGCUGGUAUUUGUAUCAUUAACGACAGAACUAAUGACAAGGUAGAUGGUUACUUCAUUAAGAACACAUGACAACUGAAUUUCAUUGUUGGUUGCAAGGUUUUUGCCUAUGUUCUAUUCUGACCUCAAAAGACACUGUAAAAAAUGUCUAUAAACUCACUUUAUAAAUAACAGUAAAAAAUAUUGUCCACUUUGAUUCCCAUGUAAAGGUAAGCAGCUUAAUCUAUGGAUGAACAGAAGUGUAGGUUCUAAUGUGUUUAACCAGUUGAUAAACACAGUUCAUUACAAUUAUUUCAGCUCGAUAAUAUUAGAAGCAAGACUCCUUUCAAGUUAUUUUUCUUUGGAAGUUCUGUGUCUGUUAGUCUCACCAUAUUCUUUUUGCCUAUUUUUUAUCAGUAUUCUUUGCUACUGUAAAUCUUUUCAAGGUACAAACAUUCUGUAUUCAAGCCAGUCUUCCAGUUACAGAAAUGGAAAAAAUCCCAAAUGAGUAAGAUCAAUCAUUAAUUUGAUUACUGUUGUUUCGUUCAGGUUCCAUAUUUGAAGAUAGCCAUUUUAUCAGCUCAGAUACCAAACUGUAGUAACUUGUUUGGUCGGUACAACUUUUUUAAUCUAUUGUAUUGACAGUCAAAAUGAAGAAAGUAAUAAAUCUGCAUUUUUUUAGUGAGAUAAUACAGUAGAGCUAUUAUUGAUGAUGCCUU
Strigops habroptila (Kakapo) is the source of this 949-nucleotide long non-coding RNA. RefSeq lists it as uncharacterized. Lineage: Eukaryota; Metazoa; Chordata; Aves; Psittaciformes; Psittacidae. The record is from RefSeq and is a predicted model, not a curated record. The transcript has 3 exons.